UACGUAGGGUGCAGGCGUUAAUCGGAAUUACUGGGCGUAAAGCGUGCGCAGGCGGUUUGCUAAGACAGGUGUGAAAUCCCCGGGCUUAACCUGGGAACUGCGCUUGUUACUGGCAGGCUUGAGUGUGGCAGAAGGGGGUGGAAUUCCACGUGUAGCAGUGAAAUGCGUAGAUAUGCGGAGGAACACCGAUGGCGAAGGCAAUCCCCUGGGCCUGCACUGACGCUCAUGCACGAAAGCGUGGGGAGCAAACAGG
RNAcentral lists this ribosomal RNA (253 nucleotides) under uncultured bacterium. RNAcentral describes it as "partial 16S ribosomal RNA". It matches the Rfam family "Bacterial small subunit ribosomal RNA", at positions 524 to 776 of the family's 1533-position model. The record is from RNAcentral.